GUGAAAGGCCAAUCAAACUUCGUGAUAGCUGGUUCUCUCCGAAAUAUAUUUAGGUAUAGCGUUGUGUCGUAAUAUAAGGGGGUAGAGCACUGAAUGGGCUAGGGCAUACACCAAUGUACCAAACCCUAUCAAACUCCGAAUACCUUAUAUGUAAUCACAGCAGUCAGGCGGCGAGUGAUAAAAUCCGUCGUCAAGAGGGAAACAACCCAGACUACCAGCUAAGGUCCCUAAAUCUUACUUAAGUGGAAAACGAUGUGAAGUUACUUAAACAACCAGGAGGUUGGCUUAGAAGCAGCCAUCCUUUAAAGAAAGCGUAAUAGCUCACUGGUCUAGUGAUUUUGCGCGGAAAAUAUAACGGGGCUAAAGUAAGUACCGAAGCUGUAGACUUGCGCACAACUUAGAUUAUUUAAGUUUAGAAUAUGAGAAACUAAGUUAUAUGUUUAGUUAUAUUUUUACUGAUUUUUAUAGAGUAAAGAUAGAAAUAAAACUUAGUAAAAUCAGUAAAAAUAUUCUUAGACUAAAGUUAAGUAGUUUAAGUUGUGUGCAAGUGGUAGGAGAGCGUUCUAUUUGCGUCGAAGGUAUACCGGUAAGGAGUGCUGGAGCGAAUAGAAGUGAGCAUGCAGGCAUGAGUAGCGAUAAUUAAUGUGAGAAUCAUUAACGCCGUAAACCCAAGGUUUCCUACGCGAUGCUCGUCAUCGUAGGGUUAGUCGGGUCCUAAGUCGAGUCCGAAAGGGGUAGACGAUGGCAAAUUGGUUAAUAUUCCAAUACCAACAUUAGUGUGCGAUGGAAGGACGCUUAGGGCUAAGGGGGCUAGCGGAUGGAAGUGCUAGUCUAAGGUCGUAGGAGGUUAUACAGGCAAAUCCGUAUAACAAUACUCCGAGAACUGAAAGGCUUUUUGAAGUCUUCGGAUGGAUAGAAGAACCCCUGAUGCCGUCGAGCCAAGAAAAGUUUCUAAGUUUAGCUAAUGUUGCCCGUACCGUAAACCGACACAGGUGGGUGGGAUGAGUAUUCUAAGGCGCGUGGAAGAACUCUCUUUAAGGAACUCUGCAAAAUAGCACCGUAUCUUCGGUAUAAGGUGUGGUUCGCUUCGUAUUAGGAUUUACUCCGAAAGCGAAGAAACUUACAACAAAGAGUCCCUCCCGACUGUUUACCAAAAACACAGCACUCUGCUAACUCGUAAGAGGAUGUAUAGGGUGUGACGCCUGCCCGGUGCUCGAAGGUUAAUUGAUGGGGUUAGCAUUAGCGAAGCUCUUGAUCGAAGCCCGAGUAAACGGCGGCCGUAACUAUAACGGUCCUAAGGUAGCGAAAUUCCUUGUCGGUUAAAUACCGACCUGCAUGAAUGGCGUAACGAGAUGGGAGCUGUCUCAAAGAGGGAUCCAGUGAAAUUGUAGUGGAGGUGAAAAUUCC
This 1407-nucleotide ribosomal RNA is filed under the name Campylobacter coli. RNAcentral's name for it is "partial 23S ribosomal RNA". It matches the Rfam family "Bacterial large subunit ribosomal RNA", at positions 821 to 2063 of the family's 2925-position model. The record is from RNAcentral. Lineage: Bacteria; Pseudomonadati; Campylobacterota; Epsilonproteobacteria; Campylobacterales; Campylobacteraceae.